AUUAACCUAGCACUAGCCCUAAUAACUGACACUUUAUUAACUCUAUUAUUAGUAGUAAUUACAUUUUGACUUGCAUAACUUAAUACUUACAUAGAAAAAUCCAGCCUUUAUGAAUGUAGAUUUGAUCCAUUAACCUCUACCCACCUCCUCUUCUCCAUAAAAUUCUUUCUAGUAGCCAUCACAUUUCUCCUAUUCGAUUAGAAAUCGUCCUAUUCCUACCCCUGCCAUGAGCCCUUCAAACAAAUAACCUUAUACUAAUAAUCAGUACAACCCUUCUACUAAUUACCAUUCUAAUCCUAGGCCUAAUUUAUGAAUGAACCCAAAAAGGAUUAGAUUGAGUUGAACUG
RNAcentral lists this long non-coding RNA (347 nucleotides) under Homo sapiens (human). Its description in RNAcentral is "non-protein coding lnc-CENPP-11:1". The record is from RNAcentral. Lineage: Eukaryota; Metazoa; Chordata; Mammalia; Primates; Hominidae.